Small nucleolar RNA from Entelurus aequoreus (snake pipefish), 78 nucleotides. RefSeq annotates it as small nucleolar RNA SNORD66. The record is from RefSeq and is a predicted model, not a curated record. Lineage: Eukaryota; Metazoa; Chordata; Actinopteri; Syngnathiformes; Syngnathidae. The transcript has a single exon.
AAAUGUUGAUGGCCUGUUAUCUGUGCCCCGUGGUCGGAAGCCGCCGUACUUUUAUGAUGGUGCCGAGUAUCUGAGUUU